This 311-nucleotide small RNA is filed under the name Mus musculus domesticus (western European house mouse). Its description in RNAcentral is "partial expressed neighbor of Xist non-coding RNA". Lineage: Eukaryota; Metazoa; Chordata; Mammalia; Rodentia; Muridae. The record is from RNAcentral.
UAACUUAUAAAAUGGCGGCGUCCACAUGUAUACGUCCUUCCCGGGAUUAGCCAGGCAGCUAGAGGAUGACUUAAUAAGGAGAGUGGAGAAACUGGCCAAUUAAUGAACAUGCCCUGAUCAUUAAUCCACCACUGAAGGAAGUCAGAGCAGAAACUCAAGCAGGGACUUGAAGAAGAAACCAUGGAGGAAUACGGCUUGCUGGCUCACCUUUCAAGAUGUUCAACUUGGCUGCUCCAGCUACCAUGCCUGCUGCCUGCCACCUCCACUCUGUCAUGGAACUGUAAGCCCAAAUAAACUCUUUUUUUAUCUAA